AGUGAACGCUGGCGGUAGGCCUAACACAUGCAAGUCGAACGGCAGCACAGUAAGAGCUUGCUCUUACGGGUGGCGAGUGGCGGACGGGUGAGGAAUACAUCGGAAUCUACUUUUUCGUGGGGGAUAACGUAGGGAAACUUACGCUAAUACCGCAUACGACCUACGGGUGAAAGCAGGGGAUCUUCGGACCUUGCGCGAUUGAAUGAGCCGAUGUCGGAUUAGCUAGUUGGCGGGGUAAAGGCCCACCAAGGCGACGAUCCGUAGCUGGUCUGAGAGGAUGAUCAGCCACACUGGAACUGAGACACGUUCCAGUCUCCUACGGGAGGCAGCAGUGGGGAAUAUUGGACAAUGGGCGCAAGCCUGAUCCAGCCAUCCCGCGUGGGUGAAGAAGGCCUUCGGGUUGUAAAGCCCUUUUGUUGGGAAAGAAAAGCAGCAGGUUAAUACCCCGCUGUUCUGACGGUACCCAAAGAAUAAGCACCGGCUAACUUCGUG
Molecule: ribosomal RNA, 492 nt
Filed under: uncultured bacterium
Lineage: Bacteria
Description: partial 16S ribosomal RNA
Rfam family: Bacterial small subunit ribosomal RNA
Source: RNAcentral